This 455-nucleotide long non-coding RNA is filed under the name Bos taurus (domestic cattle). RNAcentral's name for it is "long non-coding RNA NONBTAT000697". Lineage: Eukaryota; Metazoa; Chordata; Mammalia; Artiodactyla; Bovidae. The record is from RNAcentral.
GGAGAAAAACAUGCUGUUAGAUAAAGCAGAGCUGUAACUGCUGGCUAAGACUCAAUGGAACUUCCACUUGCUCUAAAACCAGGGAAAUCUUAGAUAACUGGGUGUGAUAUAUCUAUAGAUACACAUAGUCUAUAGGUAAAUAAUUUCUAAAAUGAGGAUCUUUCUCUUGGUGAUCCUCUGGUUUUGGCUGUACCAAAUUGUGAAUAUUCUUGCUGUGUUGUACCCAGUUACUUUAUAUUGAUACUGCAACUUGAAUUGGGGAGGGGGCGGUGGGACAUUUGGGGUGGGGGAGGGAGGGGAGUCUUUCGAAGACAUCAGCUCACUGUGCUGAGAGAGGGACCAAACUCAAGGAAACCUCUGAUCUAUAAAUUCAACUGCUGCAUUUUUUUAUAAAUACAUGUAAAUGUCCUGUUGUAAUAUUUGAUCUUGGAAAUAAAAUCAAAAACUUUUCAGUA